UACGUAGGGAGCAAGCGUUGUUCGGAUUUACUGGGCGUAAAGGGCGCGUAGGCGGCAAAUUAAGUCAGCUGUGAAAUCUCCGAGCUUAACUCGGAACUGUCAGCUGAUACUGAUCUGCUAGAGUGCGGAAGGGGCAAUCGGAAUUCUUGGUGUAGCGGUGAAGUGCGUAGAUAUCAAGAGGAACACCUGAGGUGAAGACGGGUUGCUGGGCCGACACUGACGCUGAGUGCGCGAAAGCCAGGGGAGCAAACGGG
Molecule: ribosomal RNA, 254 nt
Filed under: uncultured bacterium
Lineage: Bacteria
Description: partial 16S ribosomal RNA
Rfam family: Bacterial small subunit ribosomal RNA
Source: RNAcentral